This 435-nucleotide ribosomal RNA is filed under the name uncultured bacterium. Its description in RNAcentral is "partial 16S ribosomal RNA". It matches the Rfam family "Bacterial small subunit ribosomal RNA", at positions 28 to 507 of the family's 1533-position model. The record is from RNAcentral.
GAUGAACGCUGGCGGUAUGCUUAACACAUGCAAGUCGAACGGACUCUUCGGAGUUAGUGGCGGACGGGUGAGUAACGCGUGAGAAUCUGGCUUUGGGUUCGGGACAACCACUGGAAACGGUGGCUAAUACCGGAUGUGCCGAGAGGUAAAAGAGAAAUUGCCUGCAGAUGAGCUCGCGUCUGAUUAGCUAGUUGGUGAGGUAAAGGCUCACCAAGGCAGCGAUCAGUAGCUGGUCUGAGAGGAUGACCAGCCACACUGGGACUGAGACACGGCCCAGACUCCUACGGGAGGCAGCAGUGGGGAAGUUUCCGCAAUGGGCGAAAGCCUGACGGAGCAAUACCGCGUGAGGGAAGAAGGCUCUUGGGGUGUAAACCUCUUUUCUUAGGGAAGAACAAAAUGACGGUACCUAAGGAAUAAGCAUCGGCUAACUCCGUG